UCGGGAAUUUUGGGCAAUGGGGGAAACCCUGACCCAGCAACGCCGCGUGAAGGAUGAAGUAUUUCGGUAUGUAAACUUCGAAAGAAUAGGAAGAAUAAAUGACGGUACUAUUUAUAAGGUCCGGCUAACUACGUGCCAGCAGCCGCGGUAAUACGUAGGGACCAAGCGUUGUUCGGAUUUACUGGGCGUAAAGGGCGCGUAGGCGGCAUGACAAGUCACUUGUGAAAUCUCUGGGCUUAACCCAGAACGGCCAAGUGAUACUGCUUUGCUGGAGUGCAGAAGGGGCAAUCGGAAUUCUUGGUGUAGCGGUGAAAUGCGUAGAUAUCAAGAGGAACACCUGAGGUGAAGACGGGUUGCUGGGCUGACACUGACGCUGAGGCGCGAAAGCCAGGGGAGCAAACGGGAUUAGAUACCCCCGUAGUCCCUGAGCGGGCUGGCAAGGCGCAU
Molecule: ribosomal RNA, 447 nt
Filed under: uncultured bacterium
Lineage: Bacteria
Description: bacterial SSU rRNA
Rfam family: Bacterial small subunit ribosomal RNA
Source: RNAcentral